RNAcentral lists this ribosomal RNA (520 nucleotides) under uncultured archaeon. RNAcentral describes it as "bacterial SSU rRNA". It matches the Rfam family "Archaeal small subunit ribosomal RNA", at positions 349 to 875 of the family's 1478-position model. The record is from RNAcentral.
GCCCCCAAAAACGAAAGUGUGACGGGGUUACCCAAAGUGUUCUCUUUAGGACUGUGGUAAGUGAGUAAUGUCCCCUUUUAGAAAGGAGAGGGCAAGGCUGGUGCCAGCCGCCGCGGUAAAACCAGCUCUUCAAGUGGUCGGGAUAAUUAUUGGGCUUAAAGUGUCCGUAGCCGGAUUGGAAAGUUCCUGGUAAAAUCGGGUAGCUUAACUAUUCGCAUGCUAGGAAUACUAUCAUUCUAGAGGGCGGGAAAGGUCUGAGGUACUACAGGGGUAGGGGUGAAAUCUUAUAAUCCUUGUAGGACCACCAGUGGCGAAGGCGUCAGACUGGAACGCGCCUGACGGUGAGGGACGAAAGCCAGGGGAGCGAACCGGAUUAGAUACCCGGGUAGUCCUGGCCGUAAACGAUGCAUACUAGGUGAUGGUAUGGCCAUGAGCCAUAUCAGUGCCGUAGGGAAACCGUUAAGUGUGCCGCCUGGGAAGUACGGUCGCAAGGCUAAAACUUAAAGGAAUUGGCGGGGGA